This is a long non-coding RNA of Anopheles aquasalis, 15973 nucleotides long. RefSeq lists it as uncharacterized. Lineage: Eukaryota; Metazoa; Arthropoda; Insecta; Diptera; Culicidae. The record is from RefSeq and is a predicted model, not a curated record.
GAAAAUGUACGCGCUAAUCAGGUUAUUUAGACGAUUUGAUGGAGCUAAAGGUGAUAAAAGUGAAUUCUAGUCGUUUCCUAACUCCCGCUGUUGUUCCGUGUGCCAAAGUGGUCCGGAAAAGUGUAAGAAAUUUGAAGAACCGUAGCGUGAAAGAUCCACCAAACCACGAGUGUGAAAGCAGGUAAAAAGAUGCAAUACCCUUUUGCGACGCGGUGUAGAAAGCACGAAAAUCUGCGACCAAGACCCGGGUGUCCAAGAAGGAAAUCAUCGGUAACCGCACCGACAAGAUCUCCUGCAAUUAAACCAACGGAUAGUUACCAAAAGGAACGAGCAGAUUGCACGUAACCAGAACAGAUCUAAUCCGGAACAUCAGCGUCCGUGCAGCAAGCCGCGGCCAAUGUCGGGAACAGCAUGCUGCACCGUAUACCUUCACCGUCCUCCCCCUAAAAGGGUCUCCGAAGAUGUCUGUUGCCGCCCAAUCCAAGGACGGAUGGACUUGAUCCGUGCCGUCGAUCUCGGCCUGGCGUUUCGGUUUGAGGCCCACCAUACCAUCGGCGUCAAGUGUUCGAACACGGCCAAAGCCGAAGAAGGAGCUGAGAAAGGAGGCUGAUGGAUUCAAGGUCGCGAUGAAAAUCCAGAGCAACGGACGCAUCGGCAGGCAGGCAGGCACAUUGUCCGCGGUACGAUGGCAUGCUACAUACCGAAGGCGGCGGAAAAUGCCACGUGCAGUUCGGACAGAAGAUCGCCAACAUAGAGGAGAAGAUGGCUCGCAUGGCAAAGCGUGAGUACGUCAGUCUUGAAUGUUGUUCGUUACAUAAAUCAGUAUGUAGUACGCCGGAUUGUAUCUUUCGGAAGGAGUUUCGGCAUGCGUUCAAGUACCCUACCGCCAAACUGGGAUUGAUCUUCAAUAUGGGUUCCCGCUGCAGUAUAAAGUCUCUUCGGCCAAACGCGGUGGGAGCUACUACAACUGCUAACUUCCGGUUAUCAUUCAUCUUCCUCGAUUCUGUUUCGCGUUUGGGGCUCACUGAGCGAGAAAAGGGUCAUCUUAACACAAGUUUAAUAUUCAUGCGUUCUACCGCUUGCUAUGUAAUCGAAUUCUUUUAUAUUUCUCAUUCUUUUUAUAACUAUUACCACUACUCAGAAGCUGUGAGGUGUUGGUGUAUAAGUUUUGUACUUACUCGGUACCUCUGAUUCUUCUAAUUCUUUUUCAAAAUUUUCUAUCCAUAAUUCGUUUUUCCUUACUAGCUUUUUCACUGAUAUCAAGUAAGGGUCUUUAAUAUUGUCCUAGUUUAGCUCCUGAACGCCGUUAUUAUUAACGCUACUAUCAUGUGCCAGGCAAGAUAUCUGCAAUGACAGUGAGUUUUUAACUUACUAACAAUCACUGAUGCUAGUUUUUCUAUUUCAAUGUUUCAAUGUUUUCGUUUCAUCCCAGCGAUCAAGCAAGGGUCUUUCAUAUAGUCCAUGUUUGGCUCCGCAACAUUUUCCUGAUUUCUUUCACGUUUCGGGUUAUUAUUAUCGCUAGUGGUAUCGGGUUCUUGUAAUUUCUGUGGUGAAAUUUUUUGAUGAAAGCGAUGAUGAAAUAGAUUCUUUCCGGAUUUAGUUUUCCCACUAUUUUAGAUUCGAGAUCGGGUAGAUUACACUUGAUGUUUAUUGAGAUCGUGAGUGCGUGUGAUUUGUUAUUCGGGGCGCACGUCGCGCCAGAACGGUUCGAUCUUGAUUUUUUACAAGAUUUUACACUGUCGCGGUGAUCGAGCACAACUAGUUUAUUCCUAGCUAUGUUUUUUUUUUGUGUGCACUUUUCUAUUCGCGAAUACAUUAUGUAUCGCAUGUAGCCGCAGCACUAUACAAAUAUAUAAUUUGCACGCACUACACACAUUCUCCCUUCACGGCACGGUAGCACGGCGGGGCACCGUUUGCACAGAACGGAGGGAUGCACCAUGUAGGCUGCCACGCUGCGGUACGCUGCGCUGCUUCGGCACAAUUCAUCACCACCUGCCGGAAGAUAAAAACAAAACUACACAGUUAUGGUUCGUAGAGAACGGAGUAACUUAAAAAAAAACUUUUAUUUCACUUUAUUUGUUAGUUGUUAGGUAUUGUAGGGAGAUGUACGAAGUUUCAGCUGAACACGGUGAAAGGCGGAUGACUUUUCGCUUAAAACUGCCGCUCGUGUUUUUGUUUGCUUUGUUUACAGAAUCCAUUGUAAACUGUAAGACACGACAAGGUUAUGCAUGUUUAUGCACUUGCCUUUCUACAUGACGAAAUGAAUUCGGUGCACUAUCGGAAUUUCGUGUAUCUCCGGGCACUCGGUGACGAUGUGGCUCGCAAGAUAAUGUGGCCCUACGUUUCUUUUUAGGGGCAUGGCGGCCCAGUUCUUUCUUUCCCUAUUCACUUUUGCUUUUUUCUUCCUCUCUAUCUUCCCUCUUGAUCACGCGAAAAUCACGUCUGUCUUUGUUGAUAGUUGGUAAAGGACUAUGAUGAAAGAGAUGUCAUCGUAUCUUAUUACUCCCUUCGAUCGGUUUACGGUGUAGGGUGUGUUCGAUGACUCUGGCUGGGAUGGAAUUGCCGGUCUCCCCGGGAUCCUUCCUCUUGAUCUAAAGAACAAGUUCUCUUGGUGUGAUCUCAAGUGAAAGUGAUUUUUGAAUUAAAGUACGUGAAAAGGUAGUAAUUCUUUUCACGGCUUACUCUUCGUUUAAACGGUGAUUGAUAUCCGUUUGCUUCUAAUAUAAAAUUCUGGGAUGGUCUGUUUCAAAGCUAUCGAAUCCACAUAUGUGUGCGCUGUUACGAGCUCUUAUUGAAAACAUUUGCUUAUCACUGAGGACUGUGUACACGGCAUUUAAUCGGUCGUUUACUUUGUCGUCAUCAAAGGUUUUGUUCACAGUUCCUUCGUAGAUCACUUCGUAGUCAAGUUCUUCGCAUUGUCGUCCCACAUUUAUAUCCCAGGUGAUGUAGCCUAUUUCCGCAUCUAAGCACCAACCGAUCUUGUAGGUGCAUACGAUGCCGUUUCGGAUGAUGAUCUGGUUGUUCUCGACGUCCGCUCUGGUAAUGUAGUCAUGCAGGUCGAUCUCGUAUUCGUAGUACACCAGAGCAUUGUCCCACGUGUAAAGCGGUGUUUUGUAGACGCUGCCGACACAAUUUGGACCUGAUAAGCUUCCUAUGAUCAGCGUUUGACCUCUAACUGUGUGAUUACGUUUCAACUCCCUAAUUUUAUGUUCGAUGGUUAAAGAGAUUUCGCCUGAUGUUUGUGCUAACCUACAUUCUGUGGGUGUAAAUUCUUUGACUAUGUAUGCGUAGCUAUUUUCAUAGUCGGAAGUGAGCGAGAAAGCGCCACAGUGUGUGAUUGAUCGUUUGAUUAUAACCCUGCACUGAUACACAUGAACGAAUGUUUUUGGACUGCGUUGUAGUACCUGAAUUCUUGACUCGACUGUAGUUAUAUUUUUUGUGGAUGGGAUGCAAGACGCUACACUCAUCAAGGAGUAGCUGGUAAUAUUGAUCUAGUUGUUGGCACAGUCAUAUGCAAUCAGGCCGUUUAUGGAAUAUCCAAAGGUUUGACCAAGGAAAAACAACAACGUCAUGAGCACGAGUGCCCACGAAUUCAAUCGCAUUACCUUAGACGCUCUUUGGUGCACGAUAUCGUCGUGCGUUUUGAGCUUUAACGGCGCCGCCCUCCAUUUGGUCGCCGUAACGUAUUUGGUUUGAGCCUGUAAUUCUUCCUUUGCCCAGGUACAUGGAAGAAUUGAACCCUUCUUUUUCUUCUUUAUGGAUUUAGGCUUUAAGAUUUGUUCCUGUUCAGAAUUGGUGUGGAACGUUACAAAGUUUUUACUUUCUUCUGACUUUGGUGGAUCCUUUGGUGUUUCUACUUUUACACCUGUGUGUUGGAUAUUUGGUUUGCUAUAAACAUCCAAUACUGCCAAGUUAUUUGUCGUUCGUUUGUAUAUUUUGUUUUGUACUUUUACCAAUGCUCUACGAACCUGACCAUCUUUCCCUUUGAAGACUUCGACCACUCGUCCUUUUACCCAUCUACCGUUGUUGUUGCUCAUAUCGGUGAUAAUUACAAUGUCAUCGAUUUUCAGCGGUUCUGUGGAGUCGUUCCAUUUUGAACGUUUAGCGAUGAGCGGUAGGUAUUCUAAUACCCAUUGCUUCCAAAAGUAUUGUUUGUAGUGGAGCGCUAAUUUCCAGUGGUAUCUCGUUAUUUCUUGUGCUUCGAAUUCAAAGGGUAAAGAACAACUACCCGCUCACCCGAUCAGAAAGUGAAACGGUGUAAGUAGCUCAUCCCCUUCUCCAUUUAAGGGAAUAUUUGUCAAUGGACGUGAAUUUAGAAUAUACUCAACUUGAAUUAAGGCACAUCUUAAAACUUCGAGUAAGGGAAUAUGAUGUUUUUGGCAAUAUAUCAUCUCUUGUGCAGUGGAUCGAGUCUGGUCUUAGGAUCGGGUUGGCGUCCAGACACCUUUUAUUUGCUAAUCUCCGCCACAGCGGCGGUGCUAUCCGUCCCGGUUGGGAGUCUUCCUUCGGUGUAGCGGGAGCUGCGGAGGCCAGCGGCGGUCUUCCUUCGGUGCAGCGGGAGCUGCGGAGGCCAGCGGCGGUCUUCCUUCGGGCUGCGGAGGCCAGCGGCGAUCUUCCUUCGGUGCAGCGGGAGCUGCGGAGGCCAGCGGCGGUCUUCCUUCGGGCUGCGGGGUUGGUCCUGGCUGCUGUCCGUCUUGGUUGGGAGCCUUCCUUCGGUGCUGCGGAGUUGGUCCCGGUUGGGAGCCUUCCUUCCUUCAGGGUUGGUCCUUGCUGAUCUCCAGUGGCAGACUUCCUUCUAGCAACGGUUGCUGCGGUGGCCCGUGGAGAGUCCUGGCUGAGAUCCAGUUGCAGACUGACUUUCUUCCUCACUCCCUUCCUUCGAUCACGCUCAACAAGUACUCGCCCGCAAACACCUUUAACACCGUCAAUUUCUUUGACUACGACACUACACCCUUACACUCCACGAUCCUUUCAAAUUAAUUUUUGAAUCGCAUCCACUCCUGCUUUCUCUCACCGAUCGGUAAUCCUUCACGAAACCGUUCAAUCGGCCACGCUCCACGAUUUCCUUAAUCUUUCCUUCACCUGGCUCCAUGCUGGACUGCUUCGAAUGCUGUCGCUCAUUUCCUACUAAUGAGAUAACCGUCUCUCCUAACAACUACUCUUAAACAUUCCCUUCUCUCUCUCUCUCUCUCUCUAACAUAAUUCAAAUGCCAACACAUGUUUAAUCUCGAAAACUGUGUGGUGUUAGUGAAGGACUUCGUGGCAGCCAGGCUGCGUCGCCAGCAUCGGCAGCGUUGUGUCACGCUGCGCUCCGUCGCACGCGCGUACUCAUAUCGCUGCGUUCCGUUGCACGCAUCACUUUCCAUUCGGUUAACACUAUGUUUCGUGGCGUGCUAGUCAAUACUGUUCUGCUAGCCACUGCUGUAUGUCGAUGCUGUUAUCGGCAGCAACUCGUCUUUGUUCGAAAAAUUUACACGUGGUCCAGAGCUGGGGUUGGUUGCCUUGCCUUCCGGAAGGCGUUCUUGGCAACCCUCUUGUGGUACCAAAGGUAUACACUGAAUGCGAAGUGCAGUGCCACUAUCGCCAAAAUGCAGCUUAGCUUGAUGGCGUGGUCCGCGUGAUAGUUCUCGUGUGACUCCAGGCUAUUAAUCACUGUGACAUCGUGCUCACCACGGACCACAUUUGAUUCGGGUUUCGCACUCCCGUUGCCCAUGUCUGAUCACGGUUCUUUACGCUAUCUUGCACUAGCCCACCUGCAGCUGUGUUCAACCACUAACACGCGUAGCGCUAACGUUCCGCUGUCGCACUGUUACUGUUCGUGAUUUAUCACACAGUCGGGAAACACAGGACAUAAUCGAAAACUAGGCAGAGUUCCGGUCGCAUGAACGCCCGCGCGCGCCUCCUGGCAGGAUCGCCAUGUUCUGUUUUUCUGGUGGGCUGGUUUCGGAUCUGGACGAAGUAUGACUAUCUUCGAGGAGUGUUCGAUUAAGACUGAUUUUAUUGAUUCUAUGCAAGACUCGACUCUUGGUCGAAAGAUGGUCGGCGCGUGACCGUGGGACCGUGGGUCCAAAUAUGGGGCGUCGCGCCAGCCGCGUUCCCAUGGUGUCGGGUGCGCACGUGUAGCUAACCGACACCACGAAACUUUGCGCAUGACACUCAUGGGCUCGCAGGCCACACCACAGCUGGCCUACCUUACUGACCUUCUCUAGAUCGAGAAUAAGCUUCUUAAUCGUGUCCGUAAAUUUUGUAAUUUCACCCGUUUGCUUUGUUGCAUUCAGUUUAGCUAAUACAGUGUCCAGGGACGCUGGAAUUUUUCAUUCAUCUUCCAAAGCUUUUAUAAUCUCACUGAUUGAGGUAAGCUUUUGGCCAACCGCAAGCCUUACCUUCUCCUCUGCUUUUAAUCCACCUCCAAUAGCUCGUUCGUCUAUUGCCGUAGUCGACUACUGCAUGUAGCGGUCGAGCGUCUUCCGAUUCCUCGAAGAGCGCCGAACUAUCACUAUUGCACCUGAAAUGUAGUUGAAAUGUAGGUUUCGUGAAAACAGGGAAUUGCCUUAUUUUUUUUAUUGACAAAAUGACAAUAUCACAGGCACCGCCUACAUCUGUACAGCAUAUCAUCCCACCCACUUCUCUAUUCCUGGUAUGGCAAAUCGCGAGUGGGAUAACUUAAACCUUGAUAGGUUAUCCACCGCAGUUCAAGGGGCCCACCGCACCGCAGGGUGCAGUUCCCGGACAGGCUGGUGCAGUUCCCGGACGGCCUGGUGGAGUUCCCGGACAGGCUGGUGCAGUUCCCGGACAGGCUGGUGGAGUUCCCGGACAGGCUGGUGGAGUUCCCGGACAGGCUGGUGCAGUUCCCGGACCAACAGGUGGUGUUGCCGGACGAACAGACGGUUCGAAGGACCACAUUUGUUGCGGCACGCCCGCGGCCACAGGUCCCGCGAAGGAUGGACCUCUUCGCUGACCAUCAAACGCGCAGCAGCAAGACGAAAGGGGAGGAGGAUAUUCCUCCGGAGCAAUGGUUGAGACUUUCGGCUCUCUAGUACCUCCUCGCUAGUUGCUCCUCGAUAUUGGGAGCCUAUGCCGCAGGAGGGGAGAUCUGAUCGCAACAACGUUUUUCGGAUAGGUUGGGGGAGACCCGGGAGCAUCAACCAGAACAGCGCUGAGAAACGAGGCCAAUUCGACGUGCUUCUUCGUGUUGUGAUCGAUACUGAUUUAUUCCUGACAAUUUUCGUCCUUAUGAACCGGAUGUGCGUGUAUUGGUGAAAUGUGCGUCGCAGUGGUGUGCGUGUGAUCGCACCGUGCCCCCCUAGGUUCACCCCACCCCACUCCCUACCCUAUCCUACCCUUCCCUCCUCCAUCCCUACCCUACCCUCAACCCCCUGCAUCUUUCGGAUGUGCGCAUAAAAUGUUCUCACAAUUCGCAAUUUCAUUUUUGAUAAUAUUUAUUCACACUUUUUUAAAACUCAAUCACAUAACACUAGCACCAAACAUACCUCAUCCUUACAAUGCUUCCUUCCUUCGUUGGCCGUAUAAGGACCCAAAAGGACGUUCCCAUAGACGGGCCGUUCGCAUGGACGGCACACAUUCACACAUACCGCUUACUCACGGCUCGCAGCUCUCGGAGGGCUAGAAAAACACUAAAAGAAGAUUUUUUCACUUUUAAAACACUUGUAAUACCUUUAUAAUCAUUUAGAAACACUUUUUACUCACCGUAAAACGUUUUCACAGCGUUUUCCGAUCUCCUGGCGAUGCAUGUACCGGAACAUUCUGGAAAGAGGCAAUGGUACGGCAUCGGACUUGAUCGUCCAAAUAUCAGUUUAAUUACUCACCAGAUCACGACGAAUCGUUCGGGCUCUGCUGCUGUAUCUGAUAAAUGAUCUGUAAAGAAUGGAAAACCAACAAAAUGUGUUAAAAUUAUGCAUAUUUUUGGCAAACUUACCAGCGACGAUCGUCGUCGAUCUUGCAUCGCACCUUGCUCGUUGCUGCGCUGCUCGUUGAUCCAGCGUCGCACGUUGCUCGUUGCGUGGAGAUGGUGCGUGGUGGUGCGUUCGGCGUAGUGACCGCCUGGCGCCGUCCCGUACUGUCGCUUCGUUUGCUUUUCGUUCUUCGGAAGCGACUCGGCGACGCAACAGCUUGUUUAGAUCACCCGCGUUAGUACGCCGAUUGCAGUUUCGGAGUGUCCGUCGUGGCGGACAGCCAAUGUAGCUUCGUAAGUAUUGCUUUGAUAGCUGUCGGCCUGGUGGUGUCCGUUGUAAGCGUUUCUAAUAUAUCCAGCGCAUUACAAAUUGCUUCUAAUUGCUUCUCGUUGCCGUCAUAUCUCGGCACGAGCGAGGACACCGCCUUGACGAUUUCAAGUUGCGUCGUCAUUUUGGGGUUUUUGGCAAUGCUUACAAGUUUUAUGGCCGCUAGAACUGCGAGCCCGACGCCCCUAAAUGAAAUGGGUUCUUUACCCUCCACCCUAUUGUUGAUGAUAUUUAGGAUUUCGGCCAGAGUGCUUCUGGUCGAUCUCAAAACGACCCUUCGAGGAUAGGCUUCAUCCUCUAGAUCCUCUGCCAAAAAGAGGAUUGCUUCGUAAAUGACCCUACUUUCUUUCUGCUUAUUUGUGAGGAACUCUUUCCUAUACCUUCUACCAGGGUUUUUUUAAAAUCAUCAAGAAUUUGUUGUAGUUUGGAGGAGAGUUGCUCCAUCUAUUUAAAUCGUGCUUCUGUACAUAGCACUUGUCGGAUUCUUCUCGAGCGUUCGGCACAUUUUUUCGCUAACAUAUCGAUUCCCUUAUCCACUAUGAGCACGUCGCUCAUUCUCUUUGCGUAAACUAACCGUUGUCUUAGAUUCUUAAUUACAUGCAGUUUAGUCGCUUUUUCUCUGCCCGCGUAGGCCUUGCUUACCGCCGUUGUCGUUUCUGCUAUCUUUUUCUCCAGCUGCUUCCAGAAUGCGUUGCUUAUUUUGCCGCCUCCUCUUUCCUCGUCGUCGUCGCUCUCGCUGAUGUAGACUUCGUCGCUGCUGGUGGCGAGGAAUGGCUCGAGAUCAGGUCCUUCGUAGUAAUCUUCAACGUACUUCCAAUCGUAUUCCAUUUCGUCCAUCUCACAACCUUGGUAGUCGAGCAUGGUGUGGCUUGACACCGUCACUUCCCGCCAUCUUUAUAUACGCACUUUUCACGUUCGUUUGUGUGUCACUUUUUACUCACUUUUUUUUUCGUUUGUUUGUGUGUCACUUUUGUUUAUUAUUUUUUGUUUGUAUUACUUUGGAAGUUCGAACACACAAUUUUCGCCCUUUUCUUGCCUGCUUCUUCAUUAUCGAAAACACUGCCCUAAUUAGCUUCUCCACUAUGAGCACUGUUAGCAACACCAUUAUACAUAUUAGUUUAAAGUCUUGACUAACGUGGUGUUCCGUGUGCACUUCUUGGUUCUGGAUUAUAACUAGGUUCGAGCCGCCUUUUCCCAUUGUUAAAGUGUUUGUUUUUCACUGUCAGCACUUUUUUUCACUCACGUUCUCGCGACGACCGCGACCUCACAGUUGUCGCGACCACUUUAUGUUUUUAUCACCUAAACUCUUUUUGUUCCGAUCAAUACUUCGAUCAGCACUUCUGAUCACAUUUUUUUUUUCAACACUUUUGACUGUUUUGCCAACACUUCACGGUCGCCAUGUGGUAGGCGUGUGGGGUUGUCGGGUAUUUAUUGCCAAGGGUAUUGGUAUGCGUGUUCGUAUGUUAGAUUCCCCACUGUUUUAUAAUUUGCGACCGGAAGGGCAAAGGCGACACUUGUGGAAUUUUGAGAGCGUUACUUUAUUUAGUCUCGACGACCAACGUCUGGCCUCGUCGAAAGUUUGCGAAGAAAAAGAGCGGUCGAGCGCGCGCGAGGUGACAGCUGGCUGACGUCCAGCUCCUCUGUCGUCACUCGACCUGUCAGUUGAUGUUGCUACAUUUUUUGAAUUGAACAUCGAGACGUUAGAAUAAAUAAACCGGUGUCGGAGUCGCCACAGAGGCAAUGGUACGCAUCAGACUUGAUCGUGCAAAUAUCACUUUAAUUACUCACCAGAUCACGACGAAUCGUUCAGUAAUCGAUGAAGUAGGUGGGUGGUAGCAUGUAAAGUGAAGAAAAACCACACAAUUUUUUUUAAAUACACUUUUUUUCAAUCUUACUUGGAGCGUGUUCAGCGCGCAAGCUACCACGAAGCUUCCUCCUUUGGAACUGUCAAAAUGCUAUGGCAGGGCUGCCAAUAAUUAUGUUCUAAAUUCUGAUAACAUAGCCAAAGUUUGCAUAUCUAUUAUAUGCGCGUGGAUAUUGCUCUUGGACAAUACGAACGUGCAUAGCUCGUUCGUUCGCCAAGACUUUCCCAUUUCGAUGAUGUUGUUUCCUCGGAUCUGCUUCACGGCGCUGCGAUGAAUGACUAGAAUCGGCUCCGAGUUUUUACACUCUUUCUCUAGCACUCUAUGCUGAACUAUUAUACUACACGCUGUUGUCCGUGGCCGGAUCCUGGCUUUUGAGAGCCGCCGCGAAGGAGCCGUUGAAACGGUUCCACGUGGCCUUCUUGUGGUCCGCGACAAUCUGCUUGUAAGCAGGGCAUUCGGAGAUAUCGUGUCACUGCUUUUUGCAGUGCGGGCUUUUCUGGGUCGUGGAGGAGCACUCCUCAGUUUUGUGCCUUCCUCGGCACUUUCCGCAUUACUGCUGGAACGUGCAGUAAUCGGCGGAGUGCCCGAUCCUACUGCACUUUGCGCAGCUCGCGACCUUUGAGAAAUAGGGCCUCUUAAUGGGAAUCCGGAGCCCUUCCACGACGAGGAAGCACGGCAGCACCGUCCCUUCGAACGUGACACGGAGCGAAGAAGACUCCUGGAAGGUUUUCUUCCCGUCAACGAUCGAGGCGCUGUACAGCGACCGAACCUCCAACACCUUAACUCCUUUGGAGGACGUGUUUUUGAAGGCUCCCAAUCCGUAUUUUAGGAUUUCCUCCGGGGAGAUUCCAACGUCCUCCACAACUCCGGUCACCUCCACUCGACUACCGGGGAUAUAAACCCGGUAGCGAGGCGUAAGGGCCUGGUCGGCCACAAUGGCGUUGGCCUGCAUCCGGUCGCCUACGGUGACCUGCAGUUUGUUCGGUUUUACCCGAAACACAUCGGACACCGGCUUGUACUUGGCCGUUAAGGCACGCGUGAUCGCCAGCGUGUCCAACGGCACCUCACGGGGCGUGAUGUAAACGGUGUACGGUCCCGAACCGGACGCCGGGUACGCUCGCACACGGUUGCUCAUCAUUGGCUGCGCCGACGGUGCGGACGUAGCCGUUUUCUUUGCUGCCGGAGUGGGUGACGAUGGCUCGCCGAUCUUCCUCUUCCCCGACACCACGGUGAAGCCAUCAUCCGGGCUGCAAGCAGGCCCGGAGUCAGACUCCAUGGCGGGGAAGGCGUGAGAUGACAAGGCGAGCAACAAAAACAAAAAUCAAAAACUACACUAAAAAUUAUAAAAAACAAACAAAGACAAACUACGAACAAAAAUGGGUCAUCCUGUGCGACGAUCGGCGAUCAAGGCCAAAUCUCCGCGCAAGAUGCCCCCUAACUACUCGCACGCAACGAAACAGGAGCAGAGCGUAAUACGCUACCACCUGACGCUACGUACCACACACUGCCAGGAAACUGACGGAUCCCGCCUAGUGUAGGUUUUACGCUACAAACGGGACACACGGUAGUUCACCGGCACAAAACACUUACAGCGCAGACCAGAUCACAACUCGGUUGUCGGGUUAACUGACCUAAUCCGAAGUGGACUGUAUUUGGAGGGGUGGAAAAAUGUGGAGAUUGGAAGGAAGGAUAGUGCAACGGGUGGAUGGGCUAUUGCCAACACACCACGAGAAGGAAGGAGGAAGAGGAAUUCCUAUCAGUAUCGGGGAUAUCAACAACUUGGACCAAGAUUGGAGUGAAGGUAGAAGGCCCUUUUCGACGGAAAAAGGCAAUGAUUGCCGAUUUAUUGAUUGGUUCUUGUUGGCGAUCUUCAUGUUCCGAUGGCGAGGUACAAUGUUUUUCGUCUCCUGUGGUCAGGUCCGCCAGCCAGAAAAGUCCGCCAGCUGCAAUGGCUGAGUGGUUACUUACAAUAGCAGUGUGGUGGAAUCGCAAUGAAGAUUCCCUAACAGCGCUCGCCAAGUAAUCGUUGCCACGAGUGGUCGUUCUGUGCAGUUGUAUAAUUUCCGUGACCACUGCAUGCACUACACCUGGUCCAGAGCGAGGACGGACUUACGCACUUUUAACAAGGUGCGUCUAGCCACUCGCUUGUGGUACCAUUUAUAGACGGUAGCAAUUAGCUGCAUGGAAACGAUCACGAGGAUAAUGAUCAACUUUAGUUCGUGGUUUCCGUGAUAUUCCGUGUGCACUUCCUGAUUCGCGAUCACGGUGACGUCCCGAUUUCCGGAGUUAACUUUGGAGGGGGUUUUCCCCAUGUUUGCACUUCUUGCCACUCACUAUCAGAGUUUUCGGUGGUUGCGCGAUAUACUCACACUGCGCGACAUUCGAUCGCAACACGCGCUAUACACUGUUACGUGCGCUCAACGGCGCUAUACACCGUAACUUGUUCCCCGUAUCAGAGAUACGGGCGGUUGGCUUUCUGCGCCGCAGCCGAAUUCACUAUUGGCUCAGCUUCUCCGCGGCGGCGGGAGUCUUAGCCCACUUCCCCACGGGUGGUUCUCCCGGGCUUGUCGGCACGGGCCCACGCACAGGUACGCACACGCGCGGUAACACUUAGUGCCAGGCAAGAGCUCCUGGCAGGAUCGCCAUGUCGUGCCCGUACCCGGGAAACCGUACUUACCCGUGGGGAUGACCAAUUUCGGAUUCUAAAAGGAGAUGUCUUACUCCGUUCGGUGUGAUGCUAAGACUAAAAACAUUUAUUUCAACCAAGUCAGCAAGCCGCGUCAGCGUUUCUCGCGUGGUCGGUGGUCGCACGGGACUCGGGUUGCAUCCGGCCCGCUGCGAGCGCAUUCUUUCGUUUACAUAAACACCACCCGAGAACCCUCAAGUGGUGUUCCCACGCUCGCGCUCUCAACGGCGCGAUAGGCUGAUCGCAGCAUAUCGCGCGUUAGCGACCAACAGCACUCGACUCUACGAUGUUGCGCGUAAACAAUGUUGCGCUUGAGCCGAGCGCUGUUAGGGAAUCUUCAUUGCGAUUCCACCACAGCAGGUUGUCACCAGGAGAAGAUUGCCCUGAUAAUAAAACCGUCCCCGAUGGUAGGGAGGCUAAUCAGUCGCCCUGAGUAAGCCAAUUGGUGUCCAAGAGAGAAUUGCCACGAAUCGUGUUCUCUCUCGGAUCAAAAGGCUGACCGGUGGCCGAGGAGCGUUUACCUGAAAUGGAGAAGGCGAAUCACAACGUUCGUGAGGACGUCUUUCCUCACCGAACGUCAGCCUGAAGUAGACCGAUGUUGGGUCGUGACAACGACCGGUUGAUUGUCCUAACAAGGACAUUCACUGUUUGUCCCGAGUGCAAGGGAAUCCUGCCGUGAAAACGGCAUUCACUGUUUAUCCUCAGUGCCGGGAGGGUUGCCGUAAUGGAUCCUUGUAUCGUUGUAUCUUUAUUGUAUCCUUGUAUCGUGUAAGAAGCGCGGACGUUCAAAUAUCGGUAGGAAUAUGUGGCACCAAUUAUGUGAUCCGAUCGUUGAUGUGUCCCUCCGCGAAUUAGUUUUUUCCGCGUGUUUCACUAUCCACUUUUCACAGCACUUUCUAUGCGCACUUUCUUCAGCCGCCGUACGGCUGGUCUUGAUUCUCACUACCCGAUCACGUCGGAUUGGUCACCUUACUUACGAAUUGGUGACACUUAUUCCCUCAUAUCUAUAAUUAUGGAUGAGAACUUUGGAAUUAAUUUUUAAAAAAGGAAAUUAAUUUUAUUCACUACUAUUCAACACGACUGGAUCAACGGAGAGCUGGAACAAGACUGGCUGAUUCCGGAGUGUCCGGCUUGCGAUUCCGGAGUGUCCGGGACUGCAACGUGUCCUAUCCUACAUGUAGGCCUUGCCUACCAUCCACUCCUUUCUACCUUUGAUCCCCUCCCUGCACUCCCUGUAUCUAAAAGCAGCCUAACUGCUUCUCCUCUGGCUGCUCCUCUCAUCGCUUAAGACGCGCCCGUACCGCCUUGCGGUGCUGAUGCAGGUCGCAGGACCGCUGCCGCUCUAGGGCACGUACCACCCUGUUUUGCUGCUGACGCUGCAGCUGCCCUACGCCCGCCUUGACAGCCGUUCUAGCACUUAGCCAAGCCGCUUCCCUCCGUCCUCUAUGGCGCGAUCGUGUGCCUAUCCCACUUACCAAGCCGCUGUCGCAGUCGCCAGCCACUGCUUCUAUCGUCCAGCGUUCCUGCAGCACAGUGAUGAUAAGCCGACACGCCUGGCUUGUCUCUCUCUCUCUCUCUCCAUCGCUGCGGACUGCGCAGCAACUCCUCUCCCAGGUUACUGGCCGUGACUGGAUUGGAUGGCUGCCACCGUGCCCGAGCAACGUCCUACGGAUGUUAGCAAACCGCGAGCAGUCGAACAGAACACAUGCCCGACUGUCUCAGCUACACUCACUCGACGCUCGAUCAGACAAGGGGAGGCAUUUAGUAAAACAAAUCACAGUAAAUUGUAAAAGAGUCGGAGUCGUCUGGCGGAGUUUAAAAUUCGAAUCGUAAUCGAUCAAAGGAAAAGCCAUCGAAAUAUCUGCUUUACCCAAGACGACUGACGUAUGUAAGGAGGAAGAGUUGGACGAUGGAAAUCGGCGUGUUAGAAUUGAUUCUAACGUUUCAAAGAACAGGGAAAUUUGUCGGUAAAUUAAGCUUUUAUUGGCUGGGUGGCGGAGCUAAUAAUGCAAAACAAAACCACAAAUUUGUGCCUGUUGCUGUUGAAUUCAUCUAAUUCUCGCGCGCCUCCCUUUUUAUACUCUUCGCGAGGACACUCAGCGUUCAUCAUUCUGUUCAGCGCCGUGGAAUGCGCACUGUUAUAAUAUUCUCACUAGCUCACGCACUGUUUAUAACACGGCGAGAGUUAUUUAAUUAAAGUAGAAAGUGUAGUGUGGCCUUACGUAUGGCCUAAACAAAGAAUCUUAAAAACUAGACGUGACGUAGGAUAACAACAGAACGAGAGAGAGAGAGAGAGAGAGAGAGUGCUUACAAAGCGAAAGUGAAGCAAGAUUAAAAUCGAACAAUGGGAAACGUAAAUUAGUUUGGCGAAACAUUGAGAAGAGCGGUUCGUUAUAAAUGUAACACGCGCUGCCUACGGAACUGUGGCACUAGGAACACGUGAACGGGGAGAGUCUGACCAAUCAUUCAGUAGCGUCAAUUUAAACCAUCUAGCAAUCUACGUAGGGACGAACGUACAACGCGAGCAACUUGACGCACGCCUAUGGUCAAGACCCAAGACCUGCCUCCACCACCGACCCAGCCCUGUUCUUGGCCGCCUCCGUGAUUUGCCUUGGUUCGGAACGGCGUAGUAAGAAUCCGCCACAAAAUAUGCAACGCGCCAACGGCGCGCCCGCCGCUUAACAAUCAGUUAUCAAUAACGAUCACACCAUGAUACAGUGGAGAGGGGUAUUAAUGAUUUGCUGAAGAUGCAUUCUUUCGCCACAGCCAGCAACAACAGUUCAUGCCAAAUCGGCCAAGCGACGACCCGAAGGGCGCGCCGGUCGUUCGCACAACAAAUAACAACUAGAAGAAGAAGAAGAAUGACGUUAGAAGUUGUUGGCCGCAUGAACAAAACCGCCAAACUCGAUACAUUAUCGAUAAACCUCUCUCCCUCACCAGAACCGAUAAGCGAGCACCAAUGUUGCAUCAGAGGAGAGGAUUCACGUCUACCGGCCGAGUCAGCUCACCUAACGCGGCAAGAACAGGAGGUGGAGAGGAAAACGGAUGGUAGGGACGGGUUCGCUGACAUUUUAGGGUUACACGACGUUAGGUUGCUUGCUGCGGCAAAGUUUAUAAAAAUGAAUGUCAAAAUAAAAUUAGGGCAGUUAGUAAGACGGCGCUCUUUUGUGAAAAUCUGAAAA